UCGCUCCUGAAAUCGGGUGAGGCUAUCCGCUGAGUUUAAGCAUAUAAUUAAGCGGAAGAAAAGAAAAUAACCAUGAUUCCCUCAGUAACGG
Molecule: ribosomal RNA, 91 nt
Filed under: Babesia gibsoni
Lineage: Eukaryota; Apicomplexa; Aconoidasida; Piroplasmida; Babesiidae
Description: partial 28S ribosomal RNA
Rfam family: Eukaryotic large subunit ribosomal RNA
Source: RNAcentral